UUUCCGUAGGUGAACCUGCGGAAGGAUCAUUAUCGAGUUAGGGUCUCUGGCCCGACCUCCAACGCCGUGGCUACUAUACCAUGUUGCUUUGGCGGGCCCGCGCUCGUCGCCGCCGAGGGGUUGACCCCCCUGGGCCAGUGCCCGCCGAUAGCCCCCUCUUAAACCCUUGAUCAACCGUGAAUGUCUGAGUAAAAAAAAAAUAAAGAACAAAACUUUCAACAACGGAUCUCUUGGAUCUGACUUUGACCAAGAACGCAGCUGACCGGAGCACCACACGAC
This 279-nucleotide unclassified non-coding RNA is filed under the name plant metagenome. RNAcentral's name for it is "partial contains small subunit ribosomal RNA, internal transcribed spacer 1, and 5.8S ribosomal RNA". The record is from RNAcentral.